RNAcentral lists this unclassified non-coding RNA (240 nucleotides) under soil metagenome. Its description in RNAcentral is "partial contains 5.8S ribosomal RNA, internal transcribed spacer 2, and large subunit ribosomal RNA". The record is from RNAcentral.
AACAAGGCGUACCUGCGGACCUGCGGAAGGAUCAUUACAGAGUUGCAAAACUCCCUAAACCAUUGUGAACGUUACCUAAACCGUUGCUUCGGCGGGCGGCCCGGGUCCUUCCCGGCGCCCCUCGGCCCUCGCGGGCGCCCGCCGGAGGUAAACCAAACUAUUGCAUUGUAUGGCCUCUCUGAGUCUUCUGUACUGAAUAAGUCAAAACUUUUAGCAACGGAUCUCAGAUCGGAAGAGCAC